GCCGGAGUGGCGAAAUGGCAGACGCUGAUCCCUCAAAAGGAUUUGUCCGAAAGGGCGUGUGGGUUCGAAUCCCACCUCCGGCACCU
This 86-nucleotide transfer RNA is filed under the name Actinomadura sp. WAC 06369. Its description in RNAcentral is "tRNA-Leu". It matches the Rfam family "tRNA". From Rfam's summary of the family: Transfer RNA (tRNA) molecules are approximately 80 nucleotides in length. The record is from RNAcentral. Lineage: Bacteria; Bacillati; Actinomycetota; Actinomycetes; Streptosporangiales; Thermomonosporaceae.